RNAcentral lists this long non-coding RNA (409 nucleotides) under Paramuricea clavata. Lineage: Eukaryota; Metazoa; Cnidaria; Anthozoa; Malacalcyonacea; Plexauridae. The record is from RNAcentral.
UUUUUUUUUUUUUUUUUAAUUUUAAACCCAGUGAAGGUAAGCAGAGGAGAGGUGGGUGGGUGGGAAAAUCCGAUAAUGUUACUCUUUCGACAUCUCAGAGUAAAUUACGUUAUUUUGCAUAAACUCGUGCAUGUUAUGUGCCAAUUAGGAUGGGCUGUGUUAUGCCCUGUGAUUGGUCAAAGCACAGAACAGAGUCAUACAAGGUUUUCAAUUGGUUCACAGUAUGUUUCACGGUUUGUUCACGUGAAUGUGUGCUAGCUGGCAGAAAAUGAUCUUUGACCUAUCUGUCAAGAUCUUUGACCAAACUGCCAAAGAUUAGGUUGAUAUAAACCAUAUCUACCUCCUCAUCUUACCAUCACACCUUGUCUCAUUAACUUAAAUUUAUAUAGGCUAUAAAUUUGCUUAAAUA